This is a long non-coding RNA of Oreochromis aureus, 216 nucleotides long. RefSeq lists it as uncharacterized. The record is from RefSeq and is a predicted model, not a curated record. NCBI's taxonomy places the organism in Eukaryota, Metazoa, Chordata, Actinopteri, Cichliformes, Cichlidae. The transcript is spliced from 3 exons.
CCCUCCCUCUAAAAGCACUCUGUGUGGGGAACAUGAGAGCCAGACCAAAGCUCAGAGGAACCAGCCUGGACCUCCACCCAGCUCUGUGUCCUGUAAGAGUGACUGGUCUGCUGGUCGCCUCAUUGAUUGUAAAGUCCAGCCUGUGUCUGCUGCAGAGAGAGUGGACCAGCAGAGCUCAGAGGUUCCCAGUGCUCAGUCUGCCCAGCAGCAUCAAAC